UUGGGCGUUUAUCGCGGCGCCGAAAUGGCGAUCUCUUAAUUCAGGUUUUAAUUUUGGGGAUAAAAAAGAGUCGCAAGGUGUCAGGCCGGGAUUUAAAGUGGGCGUUGGAGGAUUGCAAUGAAUUUUUUAACAGGGAAAUCUCUUAUAUUAUAACUAUGCAUGAAGGGCUUGGUGCAUUAUCGUGGAAUUCGCGACGAAGCACUGAAAAAAGAGACAUACAAAAACACCCAUAUGGAUUCGGUGAAGAUCAGAGCACACCUAAGAAUUGUUCAUCCGUUUCCCUAUUUAACCCAAAAGAGUCACAAUCUGGAAGUUUGAACGGAAUGAAAGAGGUAAAGGAAGAAUAAAGAAAGUGUUUUGCCGUGUAUGGAUAUCCGCAUCAUUGCAGAAUAUAGCAUUUCUUUCUUUCUUGUUAUGCUUAAUGAUCAGUGACAUUGACUGAAGGCUUAUACGCAACAAAGCCAAUCCGCAGGCCAUAAUAUGUAUAGUAGAAUGCUACGACGCAAUUAAAUUGACUCUUAGAAGUAAAUAUGAGACAAUAAUGAAUUGACAAUAGAAUUGUCAAGCUUUGCAAAACUGUUUUAUUUGACAACUUCUAUAUUUUCAGGUUUACUAAUUUCUAAAUUAUAAGUAAUUUUCUACAUUAUAAGCUAAGAAUUUUCUUGCAAGCUGAUAAGAGAAGACUCUUCUUCGAUUUCGAGUUAUAUGCAGAAAUAUCGCUCGGCGUUAGUUUUCAAGCUGGAUUGGGUCAGUAGUAAUAUUAAUCCGGCCAACAUUAUUUAUAUUCACGAUCGUAUAAACGGAUCUCGAGACUCGUAUCGAAAGCAUAGAAGAAACCGUCACAAAAAUGGAUCAUAAAGAUCUACAUAGAAGACAAGGUACUCGGUCUGCGUAUACGUG
RNAcentral lists this unclassified non-coding RNA (900 nucleotides) under Bombus terrestris (buff-tailed bumblebee). Its description in RNAcentral is "misc RNA ENSBTSG00005022348.1". Lineage: Eukaryota; Metazoa; Arthropoda; Insecta; Hymenoptera; Apidae. The record is from RNAcentral.